GAUGAACACUGGCGGCGUGCCUAAUACAUGCAAGUUGAGCGAACAGACGAGGAGCUUGCUCCUCUGACGUUAGCGGCGGACGGGUGAGUAACACGUGGAUAACCUACCUAUAAGACUGGGAUAACUUCGGGAAACCGGAGCUAAUACCGGAUAAUAUAUUGAACCGCAUGGUUCAAUAGUGAAAGACGGUUUUGCUGUCACUUAUAGAUGGAUCCGCGCCGCAUUAGCUAGUUGGUAAGGUAACGGCUUACCAAGGCAACAAUGCGUAGCCGACCUGAGAGGGUGAUCGGCCACACUGGAACUGAGACACGGUCCAGACUCCUACGGGAGGCAGCAGUAGGGAAUCUUCCGCAAUGGGCGAAAGCCUGACGGAGCAACGCCGCGUGAGUGAUGAAGGUCUUCGGAUCGUAAAACUCUGUUAUUAGGGAAGAACAAAUGUGUAAGUAACUAUGCACGUCUUGACGGUACCUAAUCAGAAAGCCACGGCUAACUACGUGCCAGCCGCCGCAGUAA
RNAcentral lists this ribosomal RNA (513 nucleotides) under uncultured bacterium. RNAcentral's name for it is "partial 16S ribosomal RNA". It matches the Rfam family "Bacterial small subunit ribosomal RNA", at positions 28 to 523 of the family's 1533-position model. The record is from RNAcentral.